RNAcentral lists this ribosomal RNA (253 nucleotides) under uncultured bacterium. RNAcentral's name for it is "partial 16S ribosomal RNA". It matches the Rfam family "Bacterial small subunit ribosomal RNA", at positions 524 to 776 of the family's 1533-position model. The record is from RNAcentral.
UACGGAGGGGGCUAGCGUUGUUCGGAAUUACUGGGCGUAAAGCGCACGUAGGCGGCUUUGUAAGUUAGAGGUGAAAGCCCGGGGCUCAACUCCGGAAUUGCCUUUAAGACUGCAUCGCUAGAAUUGUGGAGAGGUAAGUGGAAUUCCGAGUGUAGAGGUGAAAUUCGUAGAUAUUGGGAAGAACACCGGUGGCGAAGGCGGCUAUCUGGACCGUUUCUGACGCUGAGGCGCGAAAGCGUGGGGAGCAAACAGG